CUUUCAGCGAGGAAGAACGCCUAUCGGUUAAUACCCGGUAGGAAAGACAUCACUCGCAGAAGAAGCACCGGCUAACUCCGUGCCAGCAGCCGCGGUAAUACGGAGGGUGCAAGCGUUAAUCGGAAUUACUGGGCGUAAAGCGCGCGUAGGUGGCUUGAUAAGCCGGUUGUGAAAGCCCCGGGCUCAACCUGGGAACGGCAUCCGGAACUGUCAGGCUAGAGUGCAGGAGAGGAAGGUAGAAUUCCCGGUGUAGCGGUGAAAUGCGUAGAGAUCGGGAGGAAUACCAGUGGCGAAGGCGGCCUUCUGGACUGACACUGACACUGAGGUGCGAAAGCGUGGGUAGCAAACAGGAUUAGAUACCCUGGUAGUCCACGCCGUAAACGAUGUCGACCAGCCGUUGGGUGCCUAGAGCACUUUGUGGCGAAGUUAACGCGAUAAGUCGACCGCCUGGGGAGUACGGCCGCAAGGUUAAAACUCAAAUGAAUUGACGGGGGCCCGCACAAGCGGUGGAGCAUGUGGUUUAAUUCGAUGCAACGCGAAGAACCUUACCUACCCUUGACAUCUACAGAAGCCGGAAGAGAUUACUGUGGCCUUCGGAACNUAAACAGCU
This 610-nucleotide ribosomal RNA is filed under the name Halomonas sp. Cam 02. RNAcentral describes it as "bacterial SSU rRNA". It matches the Rfam family "Bacterial small subunit ribosomal RNA", at positions 433 to 1039 of the family's 1533-position model. Lineage: Bacteria; Pseudomonadati; Pseudomonadota; Gammaproteobacteria; Oceanospirillales; Halomonadaceae. The record is from RNAcentral.